Molecule: ribosomal RNA, 379 nt
Filed under: uncultured bacterium
Lineage: Bacteria
Description: bacterial SSU rRNA
Rfam family: Bacterial small subunit ribosomal RNA
Source: RNAcentral
AGCGAACGUUUGCGGCGGGCCUAACACAUGCAAGUCGAACGCACUAGCAAUAGUGAGUGGCGCACGGGUGCGUAACACGUGGGUAAUCAACCCUUCAGCCUGGGAUAGCGACUCGAAAGGGUCGCUAAUACCGGAUACGGCGCGAGAGGCUUCGGCUUCUCACGAGAAAGCCACGCAAGGGGCACUGAAGGACGAGCUUGCGGCCCAUCAGCUAGUUGGUGAGGUAAGAGCUCACCAAGGCUAAGACGGGUAGCUGGUCUGAGAGGAUGAUCAGCCACACUGGAACUGAGACACGGUCCAGACUCCUACGGGAGGCAGCAGUGGGGAAUAUUGCGCAAUGGGCGAAAGCCUGACGCAGCCACGCCGCGUGAGCGAUGAA